RNAcentral lists this transfer RNA (72 nucleotides) under Pyrobaculum calidifontis JCM 11548. Its description in RNAcentral is "tRNA-His (GTG) (tRNA-His-GTG-1-1)". It matches the Rfam family "tRNA". Rfam says of the family: Transfer RNA (tRNA) molecules are approximately 80 nucleotides in length. Their secondary structure includes four short double-helical elements and three loops (D, anti-codon, and T loops). Lineage: Archaea; Thermoproteati; Thermoproteota; Thermoprotei; Thermoproteales; Thermoproteaceae. The record is from RNAcentral.
GCCGCCGUAGUCUAGCGGCUAGGAUGGCGGGUUGUGGUCCCGUUGACCCGGGUUCAAAUCCCGGCGGCGGCC